This 75-nucleotide transfer RNA is filed under the name Stegodyphus mimosarum. It matches the Rfam family "tRNA". Rfam says of the family: Transfer RNA (tRNA) molecules are approximately 80 nucleotides in length. Lineage: Eukaryota; Metazoa; Arthropoda; Arachnida; Araneae; Eresidae. The record is from Rfam by way of RNAcentral.
CCCUUCGUGGUGUAACGGUAGCACACUCGGCUCGUAUUCGAGAGGUUCAUGCAGGUUCGAGUCCAGGCAAAGGCA